RNAcentral lists this ribosomal RNA (503 nucleotides) under uncultured bacterium. RNAcentral describes it as "partial 16S ribosomal RNA". It matches the Rfam family "Bacterial small subunit ribosomal RNA", at positions 30 to 523 of the family's 1533-position model. The record is from RNAcentral.
AUUGAACGCUGGCGGCAGGCUUAACACAUGCAAGUCGAGCGGGGUGAUGGUGCUUGCACUAUCACUUAGCGGCGGACGGGUGAGUAAUGCUUAGGAAUUUGCCUAUUAGUGGGGGACAACAUCUCGAAAGGGAUGCUAAUACCGCAUACGUCCUACGGGAGAAAGCAGGGGAUCACUUGUGACCUUGCGCUAAUAGAUGAGCCUAAGUCGGAUUAGCUAGUUGGUGGGGUAAAGGCCUACCAAGGCGACGAUCUGUAGCGGGUCUGAGAGGAUGAUCCGCCACACUGGGACUGAGACACGGCCCAGACUCCUACGGGAGGCAGCAGUGGGGAAUAUUGGACAAUGGGGGGAACCCUGAUCCAGCCAUGCCGCGUGUGUGAGGAAGGCCUUAUGGUUGUAAAGCACUUUAAGCGAGGAGGAGGCUCUUUUGGUUAAUACCCAAGAUAAGUGGACGUUACUCGCAGAAUAAGCACCGGCUAACUCUGUGCCAGCAGCCGCGGUAA